Molecule: transfer RNA, 73 nt
Filed under: Penaeus chinensis
Lineage: Eukaryota; Metazoa; Arthropoda; Malacostraca; Decapoda; Penaeidae
Description: tRNA-Val
Rfam family: tRNA
About the family: Transfer RNA (tRNA) molecules are approximately 80 nucleotides in length. Their secondary structure includes four short double-helical elements and three loops (D, anti-codon, and T loops).
Source: RNAcentral
GUGCUCAUGGUGUAGUGGUUAUCACAUCUGUCUAACACACAGAAGGUCAUAGGUUCAAGCCCUGGUCAGCACA